This 490-nucleotide ribosomal RNA is filed under the name uncultured bacterium. RNAcentral's name for it is "partial 16S ribosomal RNA". It matches the Rfam family "Bacterial small subunit ribosomal RNA", at positions 30 to 507 of the family's 1533-position model. The record is from RNAcentral.
AUUGAACGCUGGCGGCAGGCCUAACACAUGCAAGUCGAACGGUAACAGGAAGCAGCUUGCUGCUUUGCUGACGAGUGGCGGACGGGUGAGUAAUGUCUGGGAAACUGCCCGAUGGAGGGGGAUAACUACUGGAAACGGUAGCUAAUACCGCAUAACGUCGCAAGACCAAAGAGGGGGACCUUAGGGCCUCUUGCCAUCGGAUGUGCCCAGAUGGGAUUAGCUAGUAGGUGGGGUAACGGCUCACCUAGGCGACGAUCCCUAGCUGGUCUGAGAGGAUGACCAGCCACACUGGAACUGAGACACGGUCCAGACUCCUACGGGAGGCAGCAGUGGGGAAUAUUGCACAAGGGGCGCAAGCCUGAUGCAGCCAUGCCGCGUGUAUGAAGAAGGCCUUCGGGUUGUAAAGUACUUUCAGCGGGGAGGAAGGGAGUAAAGUUAAUACCUUUGCUCAUUGACGUUACCCGCAGAAGAAGCACCGGCUAACUCCGUG